Molecule: ribosomal RNA, 429 nt
Filed under: Gemmatimonadota bacterium
Lineage: Bacteria; Pseudomonadati; Gemmatimonadota
Description: Gemmatimonadetes bacterium partial 16S ribosomal RNA
Rfam family: Bacterial small subunit ribosomal RNA
Source: RNAcentral
UAGGGAAUCUUCGGCAAUGGACGAAAGUCUGACCGAGCAACGCCGCGUGAGUGAAGUAGGUUUUCGGAUCGUAAAACUCUGUUGUUAGAGUAGAACAAGGACGUUAGUAACUGAACGUCCCCUGACGGUAUCUAACCAGAAAGCCACGGCUAACUACGUGCCAGCAGCCGCGGUAAUACGUAGGUGGCAAGCGUUGUCCGGAUUUAUUGGGCGUAAAGCGAGCGCAGGCGGUUUCUUAAGUCUGAUGUGAAAGCCCCCGGCUCAACCGGGGAGGGUCAUUGGAAGCUGGGAGGCUUGAGUGCAGAAGAGGGGGGUGGAAUUCCAUGUGUAGCGGUGAAAAGCGUAGAUAUAUGGAGGAACACCAGUGGCGAAGGCGGCUCUCUGGACUGUAACUGACGCUGAGGCUCGAAAGCGUGGGGAGCAAACAGG